GCAAAAUCAGCAGUGUAUCAAAUACUUGCUCUCCCUACUGUAUAAGGAGCCAAAUAACUUCAUUGACUGAUUUAUUAAUAGCAAGCUCAGUGGAGGACGAGGCCAGGCUCCAGAAGACGAGGCCAGGCUCCAGAGGGCGAUUCCAUCCGGGCAGGACAGGGGACCAAUCAGUGAGAACCGGGACCCAAUAUUCAGUUUGCACCAAUUAAAAAAAACUUUAUUUUAAUCAUCAAAGAACACGGUUUUACAUUGCACAAUCAAAAUAUAGAAAUAAGGCAGACUCCUUAAGGAAUGAUCACAAGAGAACCCCCAAACAGUGACCUCUCUCGCUAACCUUUGACCCCCCGAAAAUCUCUCAACCAGACCCAGCCACAGACAAACGCCCCUUGCUACUCAAAUGUCACCCCAUUGUCCACCUGGCGCACUAGCUCUGACUAUAAACCUUUGGGACCAGACAACCACCUCCCCUGAGCACCCAAAAGAUUUAUUAGUGACCAACAGUUAUGGGGGGGGGGGGGCAUCAUUUUAGAACAGACUUACAGUCCGUUCAUGAAAUCUCAUCAUUAAACAACUAAUUUGUGUAUUACCUUCCCGAUUUUCAAGCAAGACUUCCCGAGCCCCACGGCUUGUCGCCUUGUCCUCUUAUAAGAACACAUUGAGAAGUUAAAAUAUUAUUACCAUGUAAAACUAUUUAAUUGAAAGCUUAAAGGGGAAUUAUGGCAAAUACCUUAAAUGUGUCAAGGUCCGUAAAUCAUUCUAACUUAACAGUUAGACAGUCACUGAGCACAGUGAGGUAAGGGCUACAGCAUAAGUCCUACCCCGUUCCUAAGUGAAGUGCCAGGUACACAUAUCUUUGUGGAAUUAUGAAAAAUUCACUUUCUAUAACAAAAACUAAAGGGCUGGUUCUGCACAUAGAGAUCAGGCCUAUUUCGGGACUAGAGAAAAACAAGGUCAGUGGAAAUCUCCAUUGAGCUUGAUUUAUUAAAUUUUUUGCCCUAGACCAUGCUUAAUCUGUGACUGUGAAAUCGGCCCUAAAUGUUUGAAGCCCAAUCAAUCGUGACAAAUGACAUACAUUUUGUGAUAUAUUUGCUGCAGGAUCACAAUCAUACCAUUUCUGACACCUAGACACCUUUCAGACAUUGUCCGAAUAUUCCCCUUUCAACUUCAGUCAAUAACAUUUUUUAAUUACAUUUAAGACUCUAAACCUUGUUUGCCCUGAGCCGUGUAGCCUGGCUAGCUGGUAGCACAUCAACCAGCCAAAUACAACCAAAAGCCACAUGACCUAUGUGUUAGUACAGUACUGAAAAAGUUACUGUCGCCUCCCCAUACGAGACUAUUAACGGUGUGGAAAAACAUAUGUACAGUUUCAAUAUAUACAUUACAUACAUCCUGCAUGUACAGACACACAUCUGCUGGUAGGCAUGGUUACAGUGACACCUACAAAACCCAGCCAAUCAGAAACGAGGGUUGAGUCGAGGCAGCCAGCCUUCACAACAACCAAAAGGGCUUCUCUCCUGAGUAGUGUUGUGUCAGACGGCUAACUUGAACCCAAAGCCAACAAUUUGGACUACAAUCAAAUUUUUAAAGCAUGGAGAAAGAAAGCGUUCCAAAUGGCAUUCCAUUCCCUUUAAAAGCAGAACUAUCAAUAUUGCUCUGGUCAGAAGUGUAAUUGGUAGGGAACAGGGAGACAACCCGGGAAAUUAUGAACCAACAGGUCCCCUAAGUGCUGUAGUAACCUGACGACAGGUAAAUGCGUCAGAGAUAACCAGGUCAAUCUUAAUGCAGGCAAGUUAUUUAAAACUUAUUUUCUGAUGAGACUGUGGAUGCGUCCUCAGUUGGCACCAUAUUCCCGAUAUAGAGAACUGCUUUCAGCCCUAGUGAACUGAUGUGCCCUUUAGCGGGCAGGGCACCAUUUGGGUCUAAUCCAAUGGCUUUCUCACUGAACUGGGCUGACAACAGUUAUCACAACUGCUCAGGACACGUAGCAUUUUAGGCCAAAUCCAGAGAUGUGAAACAGCCACGUCCAUUUGAGAUCUCGCCAUGGACAAAGACAAUACCUGAACCUGCACUGUUUUGUCGUCAUCACCGGCGCAAGCCUUUUGAACAAUACACACUACGAUUCUUAUAUGGACAAAACACGACUGAACGCAAUCAAAGAGAAAGAAAAUAAAACCACCUAUUAUAAACUCUGAUGCUUGGUUUUGGACCAAUUACAAAUGGCAUUUCCUUGAUACAGACAAGACUAUCAGACAGAUCAGCACGGACCAAAGAUGCCCGACCCUGUAUGGCCACAUACAGUCCAUAUUGAUGGUCCCUCAUAUAGGAAAGAUGUUAGCUACAGACAUUUGAAACCAUUUAAACCUAAACUGUACAAGCCCCCCCCCC
This is a long non-coding RNA of Esox lucius (northern pike), 2385 nucleotides long. NCBI's taxonomy places the organism in Eukaryota, Metazoa, Chordata, Actinopteri, Esociformes, Esocidae. The record is from Ensembl.